RNAcentral lists this ribosomal RNA (497 nucleotides) under uncultured bacterium. Its description in RNAcentral is "partial 16S ribosomal RNA". It matches the Rfam family "Bacterial small subunit ribosomal RNA", at positions 28 to 507 of the family's 1533-position model. The record is from RNAcentral.
GAUGAACGCUGGCGGCGUGCCUAAUACAUGCCAGUCGAGCGAACAGACGAGGAGCUUGCUCCUCUGACGUUAGCGGCGGACGGGUGAGUAACACGUGGAUAACCUACCUAUAAGACUUGGAUAACUUCGGGAAACCGGAGCUAAUACCGGAUAACAUGUUGAACCGCAUGGUUCAACAGUGAAAGACGGUUUUGCUGUCACUUAUAGAUGGAUCCGCGUCGCAUUAGCUAGUUGGUAAAGUAACGGCUUACCAAGGCGACGAUGCGUAGCCGACCUGAGAGGAUGAUCGGCCACACUGGAACUGAGACACGGUCCAGACUCCUACGGGAGGCAGCAGUAGGGAAUCUUCCGCAAUGGGCGAAAGCCUGACGGAGCAACGCCGCGUGGGUGAAGAAGGUCUUCGGAUCGUAAAACUCUGUUAUUAGGAAAGAACAAAUGUGUAAGUAACUAUCCACGUCUUGACGGUACCUAAUCAGAAAGCCACGGCUAACUACGUG